RNAcentral lists this small nuclear RNA (171 nucleotides) under Ophiophagus hannah (king cobra). RNAcentral's name for it is "7SK RNA". It matches the Rfam family "7SK RNA". Rfam says of the family: 7SK was discovered as an abundant small nuclear RNA in the mid-70s but a possible function has only recently been suggested. Two independent studies have found that 7SK RNA binds the CDK9/cyclin T complex (known as elongation factor P-TEFb). Lineage: Eukaryota; Metazoa; Chordata; Lepidosauria; Squamata; Elapidae. The record is from Rfam by way of RNAcentral.
GGAUGCAAGGGCUAUCUGGCUAUGACAUCUGCCAUCCCACUGAUCGUCAGGAUUGAUUUGGCUGAUCUGGCUGGCUAGGCAGCUGUCCCUUUGGCCUUGCCAAAGCUGUGUGCUCAGUGGAGAGGACAACCCUCCCAGUAGACUACCAAUCUUCGGUAAAGGGUGUGGGCA